CCUACGGGCGGCAGCAGUGGGGAAUAUUGGACAAUGGGCGAAAGCCUGAUCCAGCCAUGCCGCGUGUGUGAAGAAGGCCUUCGGGUUGUAAAGCACUUUCAGUGGGGAAGAAAGCCUUGGGGCUAAUACCCUCGAGGAAGGACAUCACCCACAGAAGAAGCACCGGCUAACUCCGUGCCAGCAGCCGCGGUAAUACGGAGGGUGCGAGCGUUAAUCGGAAUUACUGGGCGUAAAGCGCGCGUAGGCGGUCUGAUAAGCCGGUUGUGAAAGCCCCGGGCUCAACCUGGGAACGGCAUCCGGAACUGUCAGGCUAGAGUGCAGGAGAGGAAGGUAGAAUUCCCGGUGUAGCGGUGAAAUGCGUAGAGAUCGGGAGGAAUACCAGUGGCGAAGGCGGCCUUCUGGACUGACACUGACGCUGAGGUGCGAAAGCGUGGGUAGCACACAGGAUUAGAUACCCGAGUAGUC
RNAcentral lists this ribosomal RNA (465 nucleotides) under Vreelandella stevensii. Its description in RNAcentral is "partial 16S ribosomal RNA". It matches the Rfam family "Bacterial small subunit ribosomal RNA", at positions 338 to 795 of the family's 1533-position model. Lineage: Bacteria; Pseudomonadati; Pseudomonadota; Gammaproteobacteria; Oceanospirillales; Halomonadaceae. The record is from RNAcentral.